Molecule: long non-coding RNA, 129 nt
Organism: Syngnathus acus (greater pipefish)
Lineage: Eukaryota; Metazoa; Chordata; Actinopteri; Syngnathiformes; Syngnathidae
Exons: 3
Source: RefSeq, a predicted model, not a curated record
CAUCCACCGACCUGUUUGCCCGGUAGGCAAACUGGAGGGGACCAGUGAUGUCCUUCAGGUGGCUCAACACUAGCCUCGCAAAGGAUUUCAUGACCACAGAUGUCAGGGCGACAGGUCUGUAAUCAUUCA